Molecule: ribosomal RNA, 228 nt
Filed under: uncultured bacterium
Lineage: Bacteria
Description: partial 16S ribosomal RNA
Rfam family: Bacterial small subunit ribosomal RNA
Source: RNAcentral
CGGGUGAGUAAUGUCUGGGAAACUGCCCGAUGGAGGGGGGUAACUACUGGAAACGGUAGCUAAUACCGCAUAACGUCGCAAGACCAAAGAGGGGGACCUUAGGGCCUCUUGCCAUCGGAUGUGCCCAGAUGGGAUUAGCUAGUAGGUGGGGUAAUGGCUCACCUAGGCGACGAUCCCUAGCUGGUCUGAGAGGAUGAUCAGCCACACUGGGACUGAGACACGGCCCAG